This 305-nucleotide ribosomal RNA is filed under the name uncultured bacterium. RNAcentral's name for it is "bacterial SSU rRNA". It matches the Rfam family "Bacterial small subunit ribosomal RNA", at positions 338 to 640 of the family's 1533-position model. The record is from RNAcentral.
ACCACGGGGGGCAGCAGUGAGGAAUAUUGGUCAAUGGGCUUACGCCUGAACCAGCCAAGUCGCGUGAGGGAAGACUGCCCUAUGGGUUGUAAACCUCUUUUGUCAGGGAGCAAUUGGCGCUACGUGUAGCGUUAUCGAGAGUACCUGAAGAAAAAGCAUCGGCUAACUCCGUGCCAGCAGCCGCGGUAAUACGGAGGAUGCGAGCGUUAUCCGGAUUUAUUGGGUUUAAAGGGUGCGUAGGCGGACUGUCAAGUCAGCGGUAAAAUACGGGGGCUCAACCUCCGCCCGCCGUUGAAACUGACGGU